CCCCCCUGGUAAUGGGCAAAGAGAUACCUUGUGGUUGGUGGUGUUCUUAUAUCAGCCAGGGGCAGAGCAGAUGGCAGUCCUUUGUUCAUUCAGGCUUGAUGCAUGGCUUCAUGGCCAAAGCUGUCUUAUGCUUAGGACUCAUAG
Molecule: small nucleolar RNA, 144 nt
Organism: Grammomys surdaster
Lineage: Eukaryota; Metazoa; Chordata; Mammalia; Rodentia; Muridae
Product: small nucleolar RNA SNORA48
Exons: 1
Source: RefSeq, a predicted model, not a curated record